This 563-nucleotide ribosomal RNA is filed under the name Pediococcus acidilactici. RNAcentral's name for it is "bacterial SSU rRNA". It matches the Rfam family "Bacterial small subunit ribosomal RNA", at positions 868 to 1432 of the family's 1533-position model. Lineage: Bacteria; Bacillati; Bacillota; Bacilli; Lactobacillales; Lactobacillaceae. The record is from RNAcentral.
UCCGCCUGGGGAGUACGACCGCAAGGUUGAAACUCAAAAGAAUUGACGGGGGCCCGCACAAGCGGUGGAGCAUGUGGUUUAAUUCGAAGCUACGCGAAGAACCUUACCAGGUCUUGACAUCUUCUGCCAACCUAAGAGAUUAGGCGUUCCCUUCGGGGACAGAAUGACAGGUGGUGCAUGGUUGUCGUCAGCUCGUGUCGUGAGAUGUUGGGUUAAGUCCCGCAACGAGCGCAACCCUUAUUACUAGUUGCCAGCAUUCAGUUGGGCACUCUAGUGAGACUGCCGGUGACAAACCGGAGGAAGGUGGGGACGACGUCAAAUCAUCAUGCCCCUUAUGACCUGGGCUACACACGUGCUACAAUGGAUGGUACAACGAGUCGCGAAACCGCGAGGUUUAGCUAAUCUCUUAAAACCAUUCUCAGUUCGGACUGUAGGCUGCAACUCGCCUACACGAAGUCGGAAUCGCUAGUAAUCGCGGAUCAGCAUGCCGCGGUGAAUACGUUCCCGGGCCUUGUACACACCGCCCGUCACACCAUGAGAGUUUGUAACACCCAAAGCCGGUG